This 491-nucleotide long non-coding RNA is filed under the name Androctonus crassicauda. Lineage: Eukaryota; Metazoa; Arthropoda; Arachnida; Scorpiones; Buthidae. The record is from RNAcentral.
CUGCCAGAGCUGUUGUUGUUUUUCCGGUCCUAAUGUCGUGUUUGUGCUCCUCUAGUCUUUGUUGUAGAGUUCUACUUGUUACUCCUACGUAUGUUGCUUGCAUGUUUCGAGACAGGUAACUGAAGGGUAUUGUAUAUACUCCUGCUCUUUCGGUGUUCUUUUUUCUAUCCUACUCAUUGCGUACGGAGUUGAAGAUGGAUGGUGGCCUCUUCACAGAAAUUGUAUUUCCCGACUUUCUUACUAUGCCUCUUACGGUGUUUGAUUUACUUAUCUAGUAAGGAAUUGCCACAAAAGCGUCUCUCUGGUCUACUUGUCAUCAUAUAUUGCGGGAGGUGUUCUGGAAGUUACUUCUUGUCUUCCUAUGUAUUCUGGCCACAAACUGUUUGCUGUAUCCAUGUUCAAAUGCUAUGCGGUAUAUAAAUUCGAUCUCUUGGGCUAGUAAGUGCUGGUUGGAGGAGUAUGUAUAUGCUUUUUUGAAAUAAUAAUUAAAC